GGGCCCGCACAAGCGGUGGAGCAUGUGGUUUAAUUCGAUGCAACGCGAAGAACCUUACCAAGACUAGAAACUUAUAUGAAAGAUUAUAGAAAUAUAAUCCUCCUUCGGGCAUAUAAGCAGGUGAUGCAUGGUCGUCGUCAGCUCGUGGUUUGAACUGUUCCGUUAAGUCGGAUAACGAGCGCAACCCUCAUCGUAUGUUACAAGUGUCAUGCGAGACUGCCCCGCUUCAGGGCACAAACUUUUGUUUGUGAAUUGAAGCGGGGGAGGAAGGUGAGGAUGACGCCAGAUCAGCAUGUCCCUUGAUGUCUUGGGCUGCACACGUGAUACAAUGCCCGUUACAGAGAGACGCAAUGCCGUAAGGUGGAGCAA
This 369-nucleotide ribosomal RNA is filed under the name uncultured bacterium. RNAcentral's name for it is "bacterial SSU rRNA". It matches the Rfam family "Bacterial small subunit ribosomal RNA", at positions 917 to 1270 of the family's 1533-position model. The record is from RNAcentral.